This 274-nucleotide ribosomal RNA is filed under the name uncultured bacterium. RNAcentral describes it as "partial 16S ribosomal RNA". It matches the Rfam family "Bacterial small subunit ribosomal RNA", at positions 523 to 796 of the family's 1533-position model. The record is from RNAcentral.
AUACGGAGGGGGUUAGCGUUGUUCGGAAUUACUGGGCGUAAAGCGUACGUAGGCGGAUCAGAAAGUAUGGGGUGAAAUCCCAGGGCUCAACCCUGGAACCGCCUCAUAAACUCCUGGUCUUGAGUUCGAGAGAGGUGAGUGGAAUUCCGAGUGUAGAGGUGAAAUUCGUAGAUAUUCGGAGGAACACCAGUGGCGAAGGCGGCUCACUGGCUCGAUACUGACGCUGAGGUACGAAAGUGUGGGGAGCAAACAGGAUUAGAAACCCUAGUAGUCC